UACGAAGGUGGCAAGCGUUGUUCGGAUUUACUGGGCGUACAGGGAGCGUAGGCGGUUGGAUAAGCCCUCCGUGAAAUCUCCAGGCUUAACCUGGAAAGUGCAGAGGGGACUGUUCAGCUAGAGGAUGGGAGAGGAGCGCGGAAUUCCCGGUGUAGCGGUGAAAUGCGUAGAGAUCGGGAGGAAGGCCGGUGGGGAAGGCGGCGCUCUGGAACAUUUCUGACGCUGAGGCUCGAAAGCGUGGGGAGCAAACAGG
This 253-nucleotide ribosomal RNA is filed under the name uncultured bacterium. Its description in RNAcentral is "partial 16S ribosomal RNA". It matches the Rfam family "Bacterial small subunit ribosomal RNA", at positions 524 to 776 of the family's 1533-position model. The record is from RNAcentral.